This 604-nucleotide ribosomal RNA is filed under the name uncultured bacterium. RNAcentral's name for it is "bacterial SSU rRNA". The stretch from base 1 to 533 matches the Rfam family "Bacterial small subunit ribosomal RNA", at positions 338 to 873 of the family's 1533-position model. The record is from RNAcentral.
CCUACGGGAGGCAGCAGUAGGGAAUAUUGGGCAAUGGAGGCAACUCUGACCCAGCCAUGCCGCGUGCAGGAUGAAGGCGUUAUGCGUUGUAAACUGCUUUUAUAUAGGAAGAAAUAGACCUUGCGAGGUAAGUUGACGGUACUAUAUGAAUAAGCACCGGCUAACUCCGUGCCAGCAGCCGCGGUAAUACGGAGGGUGCAAGCGUUGUCCGGAUUUAUUGGGUUUAAAGGGUGCGUAGGCGGUUUAUUAAGUCAGUGGUGAAAGACGGUCGCUCAACGAUUGCAGUGCCAUUGAUACUGGUAGACUUGAGUGUGAUUGAGGUAGCUGGAAUGGAUAGUGUAGCGGUGAAAUGCAUAGAUAUUAUCCAGAACACCAAUUGCGUAGGCAAGUUACUAAGUCACAACUGACGCUGAGGCACAAAAGUGUGGGGUAUCAAACAGGAUUAGAUACCCUGGUAGUCCACACUGUAAACGAUGAUAACUAACUGUUGGCUUUUGGGUCAGUGGUACAGNGAAAUCGUUAAGUUAUCCNCUGGAGUACGCGCGACGAGAACGUAAAGUAGAGUAGAGNGNGAGAGAGCGACGGACGACGACGAGGGAGGAGG